This 164-nucleotide ribosomal RNA is filed under the name uncultured bacterium. RNAcentral describes it as "partial 16S rRNA". It matches the Rfam family "Bacterial small subunit ribosomal RNA", at positions 355 to 511 of the family's 1533-position model. The record is from RNAcentral.
UAGGGAAUCUUCCACAAUGGGCGCAAGCCUGAUGGAGCAACGCCGCGUGAGUGAAGAAGGUCUUCGGAUCGUAAAACUCUGUUGUUAGAGAGGAACACGAGUGAGAGUAACUGUUCAUUCGAUGACGGUAUCUAACCAGCAAGUCACGGCUAACUACGUGCCAG